UAGUGUAAAACAUUGACUUGUCACCUAAGAGGAGGUUUUAUCAGAUGGCAAAGACCUCAAGACCAUUAAAUUUGGUGUUGAAUCUAACAACAUCCCCAGUAAACAGUGAGUGACAAUACUGAACUGAAGAACCUCCCCCACAAACUGCUUAGAAUGAAUAACUUACCAAGUUACUCCUGCCAAAAAGAGCUGCAUCUAUGGCCGACUGCCACCUGGAAUCUUGCUGUCCUGAGCAUUUUUUAAAGAGCUCAAGGCAAAAGCAACUCCACUACACAAAGACUGUCCUGUAUGAAGCUUGAAGGAAAAUACAGAAGAUAUACAGAUUGCAGAUGGGCACACAGAACAGGUAAGAAGGACCUGCGGGUGGGGGUUAGACAGAGCAUUGACAAUGUCCACCACUGGUCCAAAAAUAGACCCAGUGAAAAUUUAAUUGCCAAUGAG
Felis catus (domestic cat) is the source of this 441-nucleotide long non-coding RNA. RefSeq lists it as uncharacterized. The transcript has 3 exons. Lineage: Eukaryota; Metazoa; Chordata; Mammalia; Carnivora; Felidae. The record is from RefSeq and is a predicted model, not a curated record.